RNAcentral lists this long non-coding RNA (365 nucleotides) under Homo sapiens (human). RNAcentral's name for it is "HSALNT0093465". Lineage: Eukaryota; Metazoa; Chordata; Mammalia; Primates; Hominidae. The record is from RNAcentral.
UCUGUCGAUUCAUUUGCUAGCUCUUUUCCAUAUGCUACACUAUGGGGUUCCAGAUUAAAGUCCUGAACUUACUGCUUCCUAGAUUGUGAUUUUGAGCAAGAUAACUACUUUUUUACACCUUUUUUUUCUUCUAACAUGGAGGUCAAUAUAAAGCACAACUGUGUGACAUUAUCGUGAAGGAUAAAUAAGCUUUCCUUCUGUUUUGUUUUGCUCUCUGGUUAAGAAAGAUGACUUGCGUCUAAGUAUCCACGAUUGGUGUUAUCACCAAAAAAUUGUAUUAUUAUGUACUCGGAUGUCCAUAUUUUAAAUAGGAUUUAACAUGUACAUUAAUUUGUAUUACUUAAAAACCCUACAAUGAGUAUAUU